Molecule: non-coding RNA, 513 nt
Organism: Cercocebus atys (sooty mangabey)
Lineage: Eukaryota; Metazoa; Chordata; Mammalia; Primates; Cercopithecidae
Source: the annotation of a RefSeq genome assembly
CUGCCCUCGGGAAGCAGCCUUGGCGGUGCCUCAGCCAUGGCCGGGACUCUUCUCCUCCUCAGCCUCCUCGCUUACUGCACAGGCUCUGUGGCCUCCUACCAGCUGACUCAGCCACGCUCGGUGUCAGUGUCCCCAGGACAGACGGCCAGGAUCACCUGUGGGGGAGACAGCAUUGGAAGUAAAAAUGUGCAGUGGUACCAGCAGAAGCCAGCGCAGGCCCCUGUGCUGGUCAUCUAUGCUGAUAGCGAACGGCCCUCAGGGAUCCCUGAGCGAUUCUCUGGCUCCAAAUCAGGGAACACGGCCACCCUGACCAUCAGCGGGGUCGAGGCCGGGGAUGAGGCUGACUAUUACUGUCAGGUGUGGGACAGUAGUAGUAAACAUCCCACAGUGACACAGGCAGAUGGGGAAGUGCUGCCUCUCAGUGCUCAGCCCCUACCGAACCAGGGAUCGAGCCUAGCCCUGAGCUUUAGCUCAGCACAGAAAGUGAUGGAGGGUGUGGGGCUCUGGAAAUGA